This 3264-nucleotide long non-coding RNA is filed under the name Homo sapiens (human). RNAcentral describes it as "COPS8 divergent transcript". Lineage: Eukaryota; Metazoa; Chordata; Mammalia; Primates; Hominidae. The record is from RNAcentral.
AUCGCUGCGGCCGGGAUAGGGCGCCGCCGUUCUGGCCGGCUUUCUCGGUGCCCUGGAGGACCUGGCCGGCUCCGCGGGAAGCUGUACUCAGAGCGCGCGGCCGCCCUCUGGCAGGGAGGAGUUCGUUGCACUUUUGAGGGUUCUUCACGAAGACAUCCAAUACAUAGAAAACAAGUAACAGCAACAGUAACGAAUUUUUAAAUAUUAAAAUUGCUGGGGAACACGACGGAUCCUGCAGCUGCUCGGCUGUCCCGGUCGUCAGUGACGCUAGGGCUCCGCACCGUACCCUGCAUACCGUAGGUGCUCACGAAACGUUCGUGAGUUCCCUGCUCUGAGGAAACAAGCUUAAAAACUCAGAAUCUAAGGUGUGAGUCUCCGCAAACCUGCUUGUUGGGCAGCGUCCCCCGCCCGGGCUAGCCCUGCACGCCCCACCCCGGAGCCACGCUUCUCCAGCCGGGACCCCUGCCUCCUUCCAGGCUAUUCUCGGAACCGCAGCCAGAGGGAAUUUUUUUUUCCUUUCCUGAAACGUAGAGCAGAUCUGGUUACUCUUCUGCACAACGCCCUAAAAUCUAGGGCCCUUCCCAUCCCUCAGAAUUUACAUCUAAUUCUCAGCUCCCCUCCGGCUUGCUGUAGCCAUCCUGGCUUUUGUUUAGCACAGCACUUACUGUUAGUGACAUUAUAUUGUAUAUUAUUAACAUAUUUGUGUUUUACAUCCCUCACUAGACCCCCAGGAAAGAGGCUUUGAUGUGUUGCCUGCUGCAAGGCUGGCUGCAUAAUUUGUGGAGCUCAGAGAAAAGUGCGGAGCUUCCUUGUUCAAAAAACAGAAAGAAAGUGCCUCUGAGGUCAUAAAAUAUAAAACUUUCUCUUUCCUCUCAGUUUCUCUCUUUUCAUAGUGUUUUUAUGUGUUAUUUAAUAUCAUUCCAAGAAAAAUUUAGAUUUAAAUUGUUAGCAUGAAGUUCACCAUCCAUCUUUACGUUGUGCAAUGCCAGUUUUAAAUACUAAUAUAAGUGCACUGAUCUCAUAUGUGGAAUCACAGAAAUUAUGCAAUUUGUACUUCAUAGCUUAUACAUGCAUAUAGAUUUUGUUUUUACCAGAACCACGCUGGUAAAAACAGAUGCUGCACAAAGUGAACUUGCCCGUUUUCAUCGCACUUUACGUGCACGAAUUCUACCUCUACUCUCGACCUGGGACUCACCGAUGCGUAAGGAAGGACUGAAAAGCAAAAGAACUAUGGACUGGCCUUUUGGCAUGAUCAGGUGUCUAAUAUAAAGAAGUGCAUGAAUAAGAAAAUAUAUGAUAUGAGUGAUGGUUAAUACUGACUGUCAACUUGAUUGGAUUGAAGGAUGCAAAGUAUUGAUCCUGGGUGUGUCUGUGAGGGUGUUGCCAAAGGAGAUUAACAUUUGAGUCAGUGGGCUGGGAAAGUUCGACCCACUGUUAAUCUAGAUGGACACCAUCUAAUCAGAUGCCAGUGCAGCUAGAAAUGUAAAGCAGACAGAAAAAUGCGAAAAGAGAGACUGGCCUAGCCUGCCAGCCUACAUCUUUCUCCCACGCUGGAUGCUUCCUGCCCUCGAACAUCAGACUCCAAGUUCUUCAGUUUGGGACUUGGACUGGCUCUCCUUGUUCCUCAGCUUGAAGACUGCCCAUUGUGGGACUUGUGAUCAUAGGUGGAGCACCUAUCCAGUGAGGCUGUGAGGAAGGCCUUAUACCAAGAAUAGGAGAAAGCUAGAAGGAGCCCAUACCUCUGACUGCCCUUGACUGCCCACGCAAGAACUCAUGCUGGAAAAACAAAGCCCUGUUUAGGUGCCAUGAUAAAUAAGCCAGUUUGAGUCACUUGGUCUAAUAUCGAGACCACGAACAUAUUGAUCACAGAAUGUGUUAGGUAAGCAUGUUGUUGACUGAAGUGUAAGUAAGGUGCUCACCUUAAAUGCAUGUGCCAACAUCAGCAUCUUCAGAAGAGUCUCUUUCCCUUUGGGACAUCGAGGUGACUGACAGUUAAACAAGCCGUAUUUGGAGUAGGUGUACAAUCAGCCUCCUUCCAGUUCUCCUUGGCACUUUCCAGUUCACAAAGGACACUUCACUCCUUUUUGGUUUUUUUGAGACAGGGUCUCACUCUGUCACCCAGGCUAGAGUACGGUGGUGAGAUCACCCCUCACUGCAACCUCCGUCUCCUGGGCUCAAGUGAUCCUCCCACCUCAGCCUCCCAAGUAGCUGGUACCACAGGUGCAUGCCACCACACCUGGCUGAUUUUUGUAUUUUGUGUAGAAGGGGGUAUUGCCCUAUCGCCUAGGCUGGAAGGCUGUUAAGAGGAGAACUGAGCAAUGAGGAUCCCAUCCUGGACUUCGCAGACUUGCUGUGCUUUUGAAUGCUUCUCUCACGGUCAGAGCCUGCACUGGAAAAGAUGGCAUUUGGGACAACACACCUGGCUGCUGCCCCAGGAAGAAAGUAGUGAACACUGGAGGACUGUCAGCCCUGUCAGUUUCUGGAAAUGUGCCCUGAGUUUAAGUUCUGGUUUCAGAUUAUGAGGAGCAAAAUUACUGAGUAGGCCUCCUCCUAGAACAGGAAGCUCUUCCCGCUGUGGGCCAGUGGCUCUGACAUAUCACAGAGCCUGCUCUGAUGAAGGCAGCAGGAAUGAUUUCAAAACAAGCAAAACCAAAGAAAACUGUUUGACAAUGGAAGUAAUAGAGGCUCAUUUUAGAAAACAUAGACAUAAAGAAAAAAAGAAGAAUCUUCCAUAACCCACAGAUUAUAACUACUUACAUACCUUCCAGGCUUUAUUUCUCUUUUUUAAAAAACAAAUGUUAAAGUGGAAUUUACCUAUAAAAAAGAUACAGGUCCUAAGAGCACAGCUUGGCUUGAUCAAUUUUCUCAAGUUGAAUGCACCUGUGCAAUCAGUGCCAGGCUGAACACACAGCCUCAGCAGCGCCUGGAAGCUUUUCCAAGCCUCCUUAUUGUCAUCCCUCCCUCCCCAGGGGUAGCUGCGAUCACUGUAGCUUUGGUCUGAACUAUAUAUAAAUGCAAUCAUGCCACGUUAUGUUUCUGAGACUCACCCACACCCUGGCAAGCCAUUGCAGUUUGUUUAUUCUCAAUGUUCUACAAGCAGCAGUCCCCAAGCUUUUUGGCACCGGGGACCAGUCUCAUGGAGGACGAUUUUUCCGCAGACCAGGUGGGGAUGGUUUUGGAAUGAUUCAAGCACAUUCCAUUUAUUGUGCACUUUAUUUCUAUUACUGUUGCAUUGUAAUAUAUAAUGAAAUAAUUAUAUAACUC